AGUGAACGCUGGCGGUAGGCCUAACACAUGCAAGUCGAACGGCAGCACAGUAAGAGCUUGCUCUUACGGGUGGCGAGUGGCGGACGGGUGAGGAAUACAUCGGAAUCUACUUUUUCGUGGGGGAUAACGUAGGGAAACUUACGCUAAUACCGCAUACGACCUACGGGUGAAAGCAGGGGAUCUUCGGACCUUGCGCGAUUGAAUGAGCCGAUGUCGGAUUAGCUAGUUGGCGGGGUAAAGGCCCACCAAGGCGACGAUCCGUAGCUGGUCUGAGAGGAUGAGCAGCCACACUGGAACUGAGACACGGUCCAGACUCCUACGGGAGGCAGCAGUGGGGAAUAUUGGAAAAUGGGCGCAAGCCUGAUCCAGCCAUACCGCGUGGGUGAAGAAGGCCUUCGGGUUGUAAAGCCCUUUUGUUGGGAAAGAAAAGCAGCAGGUUAAUACCCCGCUGUUCUGACGGUACCCAAAGAAUAAGCACCGGCUAACUUCGU
Molecule: ribosomal RNA, 491 nt
Filed under: uncultured bacterium
Lineage: Bacteria
Description: partial 16S ribosomal RNA
Rfam family: Bacterial small subunit ribosomal RNA
Source: RNAcentral